RNAcentral lists this long non-coding RNA (1649 nucleotides) under Equus caballus (horse). Its description in RNAcentral is "lncRNA (ENSECAG00000056217.1)". The record is from RNAcentral. Lineage: Eukaryota; Metazoa; Chordata; Mammalia; Perissodactyla; Equidae.
GACAAAGGCGGGGCCGUGUGCAAACAGCUUUCCACCUGCAUUCCUUCGCUCAGGCUGCUGUAACCAGUAUCACAGACAGGAGCAAAACUAAAAACCUGUGUCAGCGAGUCACUCACUGCUGCCGUGUCCCCCAGCUCGUUGAUCUCAGGUUGACCCAGAAGCUCAGCGUCACUGCGAGGAGACAGGCUCUGGGAGGAUGUGCGUGAGCUGCACGACCUUGAGCAAGCAGAUGAAGCUCCCUGAGCCUCGGUUUCCUCAUCCGUGGAAUGGAGAGAAUGCGCUACUGACUUCACGAGGCUUAAAAGAUGAUGCACCCCCAGGGCCUGGCACACGGGCAACGCACGUUACACAGCGGCACCUCUCCUCAUCACUCAACCAGUGAGGCGACUUCUCUCCCUGCGUGUCCCCCCACCCCGGGCUGGGCUUGGCUCAGGAGUGGGGGAGCAGGGGGUCCUCUGGGCUCAGCCUAAUGGGGGAUCCUGGGCUGGCUGGGGUUGAUGCAGGAACCCAAAUAGGACAUGAAAAGAGAGAAAGGUGACCUAGGGGACUGUUUCUCAAACUUGUUUUUACUGCCCCCACGGCGAGAAAGACAUCUUGCCCUGUGAUUCCACAUAAACGUGCAUAUAUGCGUAAAAUGGAAACGAAAGUUCCGUGAAACAGUACUCACUCUCACUGGGCGUGAUGCAGUCUGUUUUCUGUUCUCUUUCAUUUCACUAAAAAUGUUAAGUGCUGCUCACAACCCAAACACAAAAAAGAUAACCAGCUAACGUGAAGCGCCGGCCCCGGGGCUGGCCGGAAUGCAGUCCAUGGUUGGGCUCACAGAGGGUUCAUUCUGGCCUUUUCGAGAACGGCUCAGGGAGGGGAAGACUGGCUGGUGAGGAUGCCCAUCGCCAUGUGACUGUCCUCUUCAGGUCCUCACAGGGCCACCCAGAGGCCUGGCAAGGAAACCCAAGAGGCAGAUGCUCCCGAGAGGCUGCUCUGACCCUCUCCAGGGGGACCCUCUCCAGGGGGACCUUCCUGCCCAGCAGAGCCACCCACAGGGGACCAUGGAAGAUCAUAUUCAGACAGAGACCAGAUGGCCACUAAGCGGACAGCCUCACUGUGUGUAUCUGGCCUGGGAAGGACCAAGGAACCUUGGGGACCCGAGAGAGGCAAUAUAGCAUAGUGGUUAGCACAGAGUCUUUACUGCCAGGUUGCCUGGGUCCAAAUCCUGCUUCCAUUACCUCUCAGCUAUACGGCCACGGGCAAACUACUUAACCUCUUUGUGCCUCAGUUUCCUCCUCUGUAAAAUGGGGAGGAUAAUUCCUCAAAGGGUUCGCACGUGUCACCCAGAACAGUCCCAGGCACUACUGUCAUUUUUAUUGCUCAGUCAGAUGAAGGCGCUUACUGGCUGGAGGCCAGCCGGGUGGGGUGCCAACAUAUCCCAUACAGGACCUGUGGGUCGAGCUUUCUAUCUCCCUGGCCCCCAUGUCAGUGAACCAGGUUGUUCUUGAGACCUGUGGGCUGGGAGUGCUGCUGCUCACCCAGAGGGGCCCUCCCAGACAGCAUGGACCACCGUCCACCUCACUGCUGGCCUCUGCAGGAGUUCCCUGCCCUGGAAACUUGCCCUGCCUGAUGCCCCCAACACACGCUGGUCCAGGGGAGUAGGG